GUGCCCGCAGGACAGAAUGUAACGCGCUGUCUGUUCCAUGUGUUUCAGUUGAAAUUGCAACACUGACCAGAGAGAACGGAAAGACAGUGAUCAGGGUUCUGAAGCAAAAGGAGGUGGAACAAUUGAUUAAACAACAUGAGGAGGAGGAAGCAAAAGCUGAACGUGAAAAGAAGGAAAAGGAACAAAAAGAGAAGGAUAAAUAGAGUAUGAAAUCAAGUGUUCUCUAGAUAAUAAAGGACCUGCUUCAGUAAAAGAUAAUCUGGAUUUCUGUCUGGUAGAAGCCUGCAACUACGCCAUGGAGGACCCAGAAUUACUUUUGAUGAACCAGGUCCUUAAUCAUCAUUUAGAUAAUUAGUUUACUGCUCCUUACAUUGACCAAUAAUUGCUUUAAUUCUUGAACACACUAUUUCUUUCAUCUUCUAUUUUUUAUUAUGGAAUAAAAUUUAAGAAGAAUAGCGAUGGGUGUCUUUAUUUCCUUAGUAAUGCCUGGAUAUGCACAAUCUUGAGGAAUUUAUUCACUUUAAACCAUUAAGAUGUAUGCUAGUUGGUAAAGAACAAAUAUGGUGUUAGAAUUGUUAGAAUUUUGUGUGUAUGUGUGGGUUUUCCUUUUAAGGUAGUGAAAAGAGCUCCAUAGUUUGAGAAGUCAUUUCACAAAUACAGAAUUAAAGUGUGCUGGCAUGCCAAGUUUUAGUUUUGGCCUAUUUUGUUCUAUAACAGGCUCUGUCAAACUGAUGGUCUUGCAAGCAGUAGUGUUUUAAAAAUGCCCUGUAGCAAAUGUGUUCAGUUUAUCAUAGCCUUCACCAGUGCAUGUGUUUUGUAAGAAAUUAAUCAUACAACACGAGCUGUAUUCACACAAACUAGAAAGACAUUUUACAAAGGCCAUGUGAAAAUGUUAAUCUAUCUUGUCAGAAUAAAAAUAGGUGAAUAAAAGAGUGCAUGAUUUUAGGCCAUGUUGACUAUUUCACAUUUUAUCCUGAAAGAAAGUUGAGAUGUUUUAUGUUUAGCUUAGUGUUGCUGAUACUUCCCCAGAGAAUUUGGUUCCUUUUUCUGGCACAACAGCCUUAACAACCUGAGAAAUCAUAACGUUUGUGCAUGAAUUAGAAAUUAUUAUGAUUUUUGUCCAGCUUGCCCCUAUACUGAAUGCAAGAAAGUGUACUUGCCAGAUAAGCAAAAAUCUCUUCUGAAAAAAAAAAAUAGAGGAAAUGAAAACAAGUUAUUGAAAAUUAUUGUGCACCUUUUCAGAUCUCAAAAGCAAAGUGAAAAGCUCAAGUGACCUGCUUAAAUGUGAGGCCUUACUCGCUGAAUUUCCAGCUGUGACACUGGUGAUCCAGCCCCUUUGUGCCCACCCUGGAUUGUAUCCAUCUUGUAGCUUUUUUGGUUGGUUGGUUUGGUCUGUUGGGAGUUUUACCCCGAAGGUUAUGUGAUGUGUACAGGAGUGAAUAUGACCAUUUAAAGAAGCUGAGUGAAUCCAUGCAGCGUUCUGUUGUUAAUCCAUCCCAGACAUUUUUGACUAAAAUGUACUUUGUCAACAUGGCCAGAAAUGACCCUUCGUCUCCACUAAACCCAUUUUGGAGCUCGCUGCUGUGAGAGUCACUGUUGAGAGCAGAGGGAAGGAAUCUGCCUUGAGGUGUCUGUGCUGCACCUGGUGCAGAGGCCCUGCACUCUGGCAGCCUCUGCAGGGGCAGCAGGGCUGGCUGGGGGCUCUCUCCAGGCUGCAGGACCUGCUUGGUCAUUCUCUACAGCUCAGUGCAGGCCAAUUGCUUUAGUCCUUUGUACUGAACUUAGACAGCACACGGUUAAUAUUCAAAUUUUACAGCCAGUAAAAGUUGGACUGACUCUUAUUUACACCCUGUGCAACAGCAGGUCUUCCAAACUAACCCAGGAAUGGUAUUUCAUGUGACGAGCCCUGAGCAGUUGCAGACCACGUGCAACGGCAUCUUUUGCAGAUUUCUGGAUCACUGAUGAUGGUUAUACAAGUGCUUGGAACAUGCUCUAAAACAGCAAUGCCAAAAUGGAGUUUUGUCUCACUUCUCAAAGAUGACUUGCAACAAAAUGUGAUGGGCUCCAGCAAUGCUUUCUGUCUUUUGGGAAACCAGGAGAGCAUCUGAGCUUGUGUUCCUCGAUGUAUAUAGACCAUGCAAGGCAGUUUGUUCAGUGCAGUCGUGUAAGUAUUAUUAGCUAGCUUAGGAUAUAGACUUAUUGAAAUAUUUUUUCGUAAAUGCAUCUUUUUCUAACAAAAUGGGGAUAAUCUUUGUUUAAAGAACUACCAAUAGCAUUUCUUUGCCAAACACUGCAUAAUUUGCUGGUAAAGGAGAACUUUUUAGAUACUGUAACAACAAAAAAGUUGGAAUGACUUAAAUAAUCUUCUGAUCUGUACUCUAUUCUGUCUUGAAGCAUUAAGUUGUGUAGUUACACUACGUUUUAAAAGAUCUAUUUAUUUAAAGGUUUUGUUUACCCAAAGUAAAAGUAGUGUCAAGUACUUUAUGAGUAUAAUCUUUGAACAGUAAUUACCAGUUUAAUUUAAAAAAAAAUCAUCUCUCCUGAGUGCCAUUAAUAGCUGAUUGUGAGCUGAGCCUCAGUACUGCCUUGGAACAGGCAAGUAACUCCAGCUGGCACUCCUGCCCAAGUUGUACAGCAAAGUUCUCCUGAAAUAAACUUAAUUUCUGAUUUUUUUCUGCAUUUGAGCCUAGGGCAAUAAGCAGAUGCUGGGGAUCUUUCAUAACUAGAAUCUUCCUGAGCCAUCCUUGCAAGUUCCUUACCUGUUCUUCCUAGAGAUAAGAGCAGUGUUUGACUGCAUUGGCCUGUUGUGUUGAUUCUGGCUUUGUGUGUUUAAACAAAAAAACCUAAAAAAAAAAUCACCACCAUCUGUGCCUUCUCUGGGAGUGGUUUGGGGAUAAGUCGUAAGAACAGAAAAUGAUUCUGGCGAUACAUUUGAGGUAUCUUUGCUAAUCAAAAGAUCUUCCUGUUCUUUGUAUGUUUUUUUGGUGUACGUAGUGUUUACGUAGAGUUUACAGUGUAUUACAUAAAUAUUUCAAAUAUUUAGCUAUUGCUGUGGCUUAAAUGUUACUUUAACACCAGAACUUUGUGUGGUGCUGUGGAAGGUGACAGAUUUUUCAAAUUAGGUAGAAGUAUUUACUUGAAACUGUUUGCAUAAUAUGAUGUUUGUAAACUUAAAAACUGGGUAGCUUAUAUCUCACUUGACUGCAUGAUAGAACUUGAUAGGGCAAAUAUGCAAAUACUCACAAAUAGAUUGUCCUAAGAAAUUGUAACGUGGUUUGUUAUUCUAAGUAGCUUAAGAGGUAAUGAAACUACCGCUUCUCCAGUGAUAUCUGUGCUGUCCUUGCAUCUGUCAGUGUAAAAAGACAGUUAGCUUGUUUUCUAGGUGACUGUAUUCUGUUCAAAUAAAGUCAAACUUACUUCUAA
Long non-coding RNA from Pipra filicauda (Wire-tailed manakin), 3423 nucleotides. RefSeq lists it as uncharacterized. The transcript is spliced from 2 exons. NCBI's taxonomy places the organism in Eukaryota, Metazoa, Chordata, Aves, Passeriformes, Pipridae. The record is from RefSeq and is a predicted model, not a curated record.